RNAcentral lists this ribosomal RNA (208 nucleotides) under uncultured bacterium. RNAcentral's name for it is "partial 16S ribosomal RNA". It matches the Rfam family "Bacterial small subunit ribosomal RNA", at positions 568 to 775 of the family's 1533-position model. The record is from RNAcentral.
CGCGUAGGCGGCCGAGCAAGUCAGUAGUGGAAGUCCAUUUUUCAAGGGUGGAAGUGCUAUUGAAACUGCAUGGCUUGAGUGCAGGAGAGGUUAUCGGAAUUCCCGGUGUAGCGGUGAAAUGCGUAGAGAUCGGGAGGAACACCAGUGGCGAAGGCGGGUAACUGGACUGCAACUGACGCUGAGGCGCGAAAGUGUGGGGAGCAAACAG